GGCGGCGUGCCUAAUACAUGCAAGUGAACGCACAGUUUAUACCGUAGCUUGCUACACCAUAGACUGUGAGUUGCGAACGGGUGAGUAACGCGUAGGUAACCUGCCUGGUAGCGGGGGAUAACUAUUGGAAACGAUAGCUAAUACCGCAUAAUAUUAAUUAUUGCAUGAUAAUUGAUUGAAAGGUGCAAUUGCACCACUACCAGAUGGACCUGCGUUGUAUUAGCUAGUAGGUGAGGUAACGGCUCACCUAGGCGACGAUACAUAGCCGACCUGAGAGGGUGAUCGGCCACACUGGGACUGAGACACGGCCCAGACUCCUACGGGAGGCAGCAGUAGGGAAUCUUCGGCAAUGGACGAAAGUCUGACCGAGCAACGCCGCGUGAGUGAAGAAGGUUUUCGGAUCGUAAAGCUCUGUUGUAAGAGAAGAACGGGUGUGAGAGUGGAAAGUUCACACUGUGACGGUAUCUUACCAGAAAGGGACGGCUAACUACGUG
RNAcentral lists this ribosomal RNA (494 nucleotides) under uncultured Streptococcus sp. RNAcentral's name for it is "bacterial SSU rRNA". It matches the Rfam family "Bacterial small subunit ribosomal RNA", at positions 38 to 507 of the family's 1533-position model. The record is from RNAcentral. Lineage: Bacteria; Bacillati; Bacillota; Bacilli; Lactobacillales; Streptococcaceae.